CCCUUAGAGUUUGAUCCUGGCUCAGAAUCAACGCUGGCGGCGUGCCUAACACAUGCAAGUCGAACGCGAAAGUGGAGCAAUCCAUGAGUAGAGUGGCGAACGGGUGAGUAACACGUGGGUGACCUACCUUCGAAUGGGGGAUAACGUCCCGAAAGGGACGCUAAUACCGCAUAACAUCCUGCCUUUGAACAGGUGGAGAUCAAAGCCGGGGAUCGCAAGACCUGGCGUUUGAAGAGGGGCCCGCGUCUGAUUAGCUAGUUGGUGAGGUAACGGCUCACCAAGGCAACGAUCAGUAUCCGGCCUGAGAGGGCGGACGGACACACUGGGACUGAGACACGGCCCAGACUCCUACGGGAGGCAGCAGUGGGGAAUUGUUCGCAAUGGGCGCAAGCCUGACGACGCAACGCCGCGUGGAGGAUGAAGGUCUUCGGAUUGUAAACUCCUGUUGCUCGGGACGAAAAGCUUCGACCUAACACGUUGAAGUCUGACGGUACCGGGUGAGGAAGCCCCGGCUAACUCUGUGCCAGCAGCCGCGGUAAUACAGAGGGGGCAAGCGUUGUUCGGAAUUACUGGGCGUAAAGGGCGCGUAGGCGGCCUUCUAAGUCGAACGUGAAAUCCCCGGGCUCAACCCGGGAACUGCGUCCGAUACUG
This 651-nucleotide ribosomal RNA is filed under the name uncultured bacterium. Its description in RNAcentral is "bacterial SSU rRNA". It matches the Rfam family "Bacterial small subunit ribosomal RNA", at positions 1 to 635 of the family's 1533-position model. The record is from RNAcentral.